This 460-nucleotide ribosomal RNA is filed under the name uncultured bacterium. RNAcentral's name for it is "partial 16S ribosomal RNA". It matches the Rfam family "Bacterial small subunit ribosomal RNA", at positions 338 to 795 of the family's 1533-position model. The record is from RNAcentral.
CCUACGGGUGGCAGCAGUGAGGAAUAUUGGUCAAUGGGCGGGAGCCUGAACCAGCCAAGUCGCGUGAGGGAUGACGGCCCUAUGGGUUGUAAACCUCUUUUGCCGGGGAGCAAAGUGCCGCACGUGUGCGGUUUGGAGAGUACCCGGAGAAAAAGCAUCGGCUAACUCCGUGCCAGCAGCCGCGGUAAUACGUAGGGGGCAAGCGUUAUCCGGAUUUACUGGGUGUAAGGGGAGCGGAGACGGCAGCGCAAGUCUGAAGUGAAAUGCCGGGGCUUAACCCCGGAACUGCUUUGGAAACUGUGCAGCUAGAGUGCAGGAGAGGUAAGUGGAAUUCGUGGUGUAGCGGUGAAAUGCUUAGAUAUCACGAAGAACUCCGAUUGCGAAGGCAGCGUACCGGCUCCACACUGACGCUGAGGCACGAAAGCGUGGGUAUCGAACAGGAUUAGAUACCCUGGUAGUC